UGCCAGCCGCCGCGGUAAUACGGAGGGAGCGAGCGUUAAUCGGAAUUACUGGGCGUAAAGCGCGCGUAGGCGGCUUUGUAAGUCGGAUGUGAAAGCCCUGGGCUCAACCUGGGAAUGGCAUUCGAUACUGCCAGUCUUGAGUUCGGGAGAGGUGUGUGGAAUUCCGAGUGUAGAGGUGAAAUUCGUAGAUAUUCGGAGGAACACCAGAGGCGAAGGCGACACACUGGACCGAUACUGACGCUGAGGUGCGAAAGCGUGGGGAGCAAACAGGAUUAGAUA
RNAcentral lists this ribosomal RNA (279 nucleotides) under uncultured bacterium. Its description in RNAcentral is "partial 16S ribosomal RNA". It matches the Rfam family "Bacterial small subunit ribosomal RNA", at positions 506 to 784 of the family's 1533-position model. The record is from RNAcentral.